Molecule: ribosomal RNA, 407 nt
Filed under: uncultured bacterium
Lineage: Bacteria
Description: partial 16S ribosomal RNA
Rfam family: Bacterial small subunit ribosomal RNA
Source: RNAcentral
AUUGAACGCUGGCGGCAGGCCUAACACAUGCAAGUCGAGCGGAGAGGCGGAAGGGUGAGUAAUGCCUAGGAAUCUGCCUGGUAGUGGGGGAUAACGUACGGAAACGGGCGCUAAUACCGCAUACUAUCAGAUGAGCCUAGGUCGGAUUAGCAAGUUGGUGGGGUAAAGGCCUACCAAGGCGACGAUCCGUAACUGGGCUGAGAGGAUGAUCAGUAACACUGGAACUGAGACACGGUCCAGACUCCUACGUGAGGCAGCAGUGGGGAAUAUUGGACAAUGGGCGAAAGCCUGAUCCAGCCAUGCCGCGUGUUCGAAGAAGGUCUUCGGAUUGUAAAGCACUUUAAGUUGGGAGGCGUUACCAACAGAAUAAGCACCGGCUAACUUCGUGCCAGCAGCCGCGGUAAUUC